AUUGAACGCUGGCGGCAUGCUUUACACAUGCAAGUCGAACGGCAGCGCGGGCUUCUGCCUGGCGGCGAGUGGCGCACGGGUGAGUAAUACAUCGGAACGUGCCCCCUUGUGGUGGAUAGCUCGUCGAAAGCCGGAUUAAUACCGCAUACGACCUGAGGGUGAAAGCGGGGGAUCUUCGGACCUCGCGCUAUUGGGGCGGCCGAUGGCAGAUUAGCUAGUUGGUGGGGUGAAGGCCUACCAGGGCGACGAUCUGUAGCUGGUCGGAGAGGACGACCAGCCACACGGGAACUGAGACAGGGACAAGACGACUACGGGAGGCAGCAGUGGGGAACGGUGGACAGUGGGCGAAAGCAUGAUCCAGCAAGGCCGCGUGUGUGAUAAAGGCGUUCGGGGUGUAAAGAACUUUUGGGGGGAAUGAAAAGGACUGUGCCAAUACCACGGUUGGAUGACGGUACCCGCAGAAUAAGCACCGGCUAACUACGUG
This 484-nucleotide ribosomal RNA is filed under the name uncultured bacterium. RNAcentral's name for it is "partial 16S ribosomal RNA". It matches the Rfam family "Bacterial small subunit ribosomal RNA", at positions 29 to 507 of the family's 1533-position model. The record is from RNAcentral.